Molecule: ribosomal RNA, 253 nt
Filed under: uncultured bacterium
Lineage: Bacteria
Description: partial 16S ribosomal RNA
Rfam family: Bacterial small subunit ribosomal RNA
Source: RNAcentral
UACGUAGGGUGCAGGCGUUAAUCGGAAUUACUGGGCGUAAAGCGUGCGCAGGCGGUUUCUUAAGUCAGAUGUGAAAGCCCCGGGCUUAACCUGGGAACUGCGUUUGAAACUGGGAGACUUGAGUGCGGCAGAGGGGGAUGGAAUUCCGCGUGUAGCAGUGAAAUGCGUAGAUAUGCGGAGGAACACCGAUGGCGAAGGCAAUCCCCUGGGCCUGCACUGACGCUCAUGCACGAAAGCGUGGGGAGCAAACAGG